AGAGUAUAAGAAGAAGUAUGGAGAGGAACACGGCUCCUGCCAGGCUGGGAUAGCAGGCUUCUUCACUGAGGAGCUGGUGGUGAUGGGUGCCCCAGGGUCAUUUUAUUGGGCCGGCACGGUCAAAGUGCUGAACCUUACGGACAACACCUAUUUCAAACUGAACGAUGAAGCAAUCAUGAACAGACGGUACACUUACCUGGGAAUUCAGCUGGAUAGGGAUCAAACCAUUCUGAACACCUAC
Non-coding RNA from Leptonychotes weddellii (Weddell seal), 241 nucleotides. Lineage: Eukaryota; Metazoa; Chordata; Mammalia; Carnivora; Phocidae. The record is from RefSeq and is a predicted model, not a curated record.